GACGAACGCUGGCGGCGUGCUUAACACAUGCAAGUCGAACGAGACGAUUGAAAGCUUGCUUUCGAAAGUCGAGUGGCAAACGGGUGAGUAACGCGUAGACAACCUGCCUUUGAGAUGGGGACAACAGUUCGAAAGGACUGCUAAUACCGAAUGAUGUGACUUUUCUGCAUGGAAGAGUUACCAAAGGCGGCCUCUAUUUAUAAGCUGUCACUGAGAGAUGGGUCUGCGUCUGAUUAGCUAGUUGGCGGGGUAAUGGCCCACCAAGGCGACGAUCAGUAGCCGGUCUGAGAGGAUGAACGGCCACAUUGGGACUGAGACACGGCCCAAACUCCUACGGGAGGCAGCAGUGGGGAAUCUUCCGCAAUGGACGAAAGUCUGACGGAGCAACGCCGCGUGAGUGAAGAAGGUUUUCGGAUCGUAAAGCUCUGUUGUUUGAGACGAACGUGCAAUUUUUGAAUAAGGAAUUGUAAUGACGGUAUUAAACGAGAAAGCCACGGCUAACUACGUGCCAGCAGCCGCGGUAA
Molecule: ribosomal RNA, 524 nt
Filed under: uncultured bacterium
Lineage: Bacteria
Description: partial 16S ribosomal RNA
Rfam family: Bacterial small subunit ribosomal RNA
Source: RNAcentral